GAUGAACGCUGGCGGCGUGCCUAAUACAUGCAAGUCGAGCGGUAAGGCUCCUUCGGGAGUACACGAGCGGCGGACGGCUGAGUAACGCGUAGGAACGUACCCCAAACUGAGGGAUAACUGCUCGAAAGAGUAGCUAAUACCGCAUGUGCUCUACGGAGUAAAGCUACGGCGGUUUGGGAACGGCCUGCGUACGAUUAGAUUGUUGGUGAGGUAAUGGCUCACCAAGUCGACGAUCGUUAGCUGGUCUGAGAGGAUGAUCAGCCAGACUGGGACUGAGAACGGCCCAGACUCCUACGGGAGGCAGCAGUAGGGAAUUUUCCACAAUGGACGAAAGUCUGAUGGAGCAACGCCGCGUGCAGGAUGAAUGCCUUCGGGUUGUAAACUGCUUUUGUACGGGAGCAAUAAGGUCUACGAGUAGAUUGAUGAGAGUACUGUACGAAUAAGCAUCGGCUAACUCCGUGCCAGCAGCCGACGGUAAGAGUAGCGUA
RNAcentral lists this ribosomal RNA (488 nucleotides) under uncultured bacterium. RNAcentral describes it as "bacterial SSU rRNA". It matches the Rfam family "Bacterial small subunit ribosomal RNA", at positions 28 to 529 of the family's 1533-position model. The record is from RNAcentral.